GAUGAACGCUGACAGAAUGCUUAACACAUGCAAGUCAACUUGAAUUUGGGUUUUUAACUUAGGUUUGGGUGGCGGACGGGUGAGUAACGCGUAAAGAACUUGCCUCACAGCUAGGGACAACAUUUGGAAACGAAUGCUAAUACCUAAUAUUAUGAUAAUAGGGCAUCCUAUAAUUAUGAAAGCUAUAAGCGCUGUGAGAGAGCUUUGCGUCCCAUUAGCUAGUUGGAGAGGUAACGGCUCACCAAGGCGAUGAUGGGUAGCCGGCCUGAGAGGGUGAUCGGCCACAAGGGGACUGAGACACGGCCCUUACUCCUACGGGAGGCAGCAGUGGGGAAUAUUGGACAAGGGACCAAGAGUCUGAUCCAGCAAUUCUGUGUGCACGAUGAAGUUUUUCGGAAUGUAAAGUGCUUUCAGUUGGGAAGAAAGAAAUGACGGUACCAACAGAAGAAGUGACGGCUAAAUACGUG
This 467-nucleotide ribosomal RNA is filed under the name uncultured bacterium. Its description in RNAcentral is "partial 16S ribosomal RNA". It matches the Rfam family "Bacterial small subunit ribosomal RNA", at positions 28 to 507 of the family's 1533-position model. The record is from RNAcentral.